GGGUAGAUUUAGAUCUGGUAUCUUGCAUGUGGGGUUAAAGGGUUUAACCCGAUUUAUUCUUUGCUGUAUGUUUUUAAAAUUUUAAAACUACACAUGCUGCCUACCCUAUUUUCUAUCAAAAUAGACCUUGAUUAUGGCUCAGUAGUUGGACCUGAACCAUUAGGUUGGUCAAAUCAAAACUAGUUAACUAAUUGAUGUCCAAGGUAAGUUUGGCAUUUUGAUCAGUGGUUUUUAAUUGGGAGCGGCUUACCUGACCAUUUCAAUGGUGUCUAAGGCAAGCUUAGUAGACCCUCCCACUGACCUCACUUACCUAGCCA
This 317-nucleotide long non-coding RNA is filed under the name Elaeis guineensis (African oil palm). RNAcentral's name for it is "long non-coding RNA (EGUI_LNC079415)". The record is from RNAcentral. Lineage: Eukaryota; Viridiplantae; Streptophyta; Magnoliopsida; Arecales; Arecaceae.